Molecule: ribosomal RNA, 475 nt
Filed under: uncultured bacterium
Lineage: Bacteria
Description: partial 16S ribosomal RNA
Rfam family: Bacterial small subunit ribosomal RNA
Source: RNAcentral
UGGGGAAUUUUGGACAAUGGGCGAAAGCCUGAUCCAGCAAUGCCGCGUGUGUGAAGAAGGCCUUCGGGUUGUAAAGCACUUUUGUCCGGAAAGAAAUCCUUGGCUCUAAUACAGUCGGGGGAUGACGGUACCGGAAGAAUAAGCACCGGCUAACUACGUGCCAGCAGCCGCGGUAAUACGUAGGGUGCAAGCGUUAAUCGGAAUUACUGGGCGUAAAGCGUGCGCAGGCGGUCCGCUAAGACAGAUGUGAAAUCCCCGGGCUUAACCUGGGAACUGCAUUUGUGACUGGCGGGCUAGAGUAUGGCAGAGGGGGGUAGAAUUCCACGUGUAGCAGUGAAAUGCGUAGAGAUGUGGAGGAAUACCGAUGGCGAAGGCAGCCCCCUGGGCCAAUACUGACGCUCAUGCACGAAAGCGUGGGGAGCAAACAGGAUUAGAUACCCUGGUAGUCCACGCCCUAAACGAUGUCAACUAGUUG